GCCGGGCGAGGGCGCGGGCGGAGGUCGAAUUCGCGGACCGCGAGGCCGCGGGCGCGGGAGGGCCGCCUAGUCGGGCGCGAGGAAUGGAGGGCACGGCUGCGGCCGUCUGCGAGGUGAUGCAGAUUUUGAGAUAUUUAAUAAUUCACUGGAAAUGUGAAACAGCAGGAGUAUCAAAGGGAACAUUGCUAGAAGGACAGCUAAUGAUUUCCAUAGAAGCAUUAAAUUC
This 226-nucleotide long non-coding RNA is filed under the name Dasypus novemcinctus (nine-banded armadillo). RNAcentral's name for it is "lncRNA (ENSDNOG00000049965.1)". The record is from RNAcentral. Lineage: Eukaryota; Metazoa; Chordata; Mammalia; Cingulata; Dasypodidae.